GCUUGUCUCAAAGAUUAAGCCAUGCAUGUCUAAGUAUAAGCAACCUUAUACAGCGAAACUGCGUACAGCUCAUUAUAUCAGCAAUUAUUUAUUUGAAGAUCACCUAUUACAUGGAUAACCGUGGUAAUUCUAGAGCUAAUACAUGCGAAAAGACGGGCCGCAAGGCUUGUUGUAUUUAUUAGACUUAAGCCAAUAUUCCUUGUGUCUAUUGCGAUGAUUCAUAAUAACUGAUCGAAUCUCAAAUUUGAGAUAAAUCAUUCAAGUUUCUGCCCUAUCAGCUUUCGAUGGUAGUGUAUUGGACUACCAUGGCAGUAACGGGUAACGAAGAAUUAGGGUUCGAUUUCGGAGAGGGAGCAUGAGAAACGGCUACCACAUCUAAGGAAGGCAGCAGG
This 392-nucleotide ribosomal RNA is filed under the name uncultured Scuticociliatia. RNAcentral describes it as "partial small subunit ribosomal RNA". It matches the Rfam family "Eukaryotic small subunit ribosomal RNA", at positions 30 to 432 of the family's 1831-position model. Lineage: Eukaryota; Ciliophora; Oligohymenophorea. The record is from RNAcentral.